Molecule: transfer RNA, 85 nt
Filed under: Clostridia bacterium
Lineage: Bacteria; Bacillati; Bacillota; Clostridia
Also listed under: 2 other names
Description: tRNA-Leu
Rfam family: tRNA
About the family: Transfer RNA (tRNA) molecules are approximately 80 nucleotides in length. Their secondary structure includes four short double-helical elements and three loops (D, anti-codon, and T loops). Further hydrogen bonds mediate the characteristic L-shaped molecular structure. tRNAs have two regions of fundamental functional importance: the anti-codon, which is responsible for specific mRNA codon recognition, and the 3' end, to which the tRNAs corresponding amino acid is attached (by aminoacyl-tRNA synthetases). tRNAs cope with the degeneracy of the genetic code in two manners: having more than one tRNA (with a specific anti-codon) for a particular amino acid; and 'wobble' base-pairing, i.e. permitting non-standard base-pairing at the 3rd anti-codon position.
Source: RNAcentral
GCACCUAUGGUGGAAUUGGCAGACACGCCAGAUUUAGGAUCUGGUGCCGCGAGGCGUGCAGGUUCAAGUCCUGUUAGGUGCACCA